This 253-nucleotide ribosomal RNA is filed under the name uncultured bacterium. RNAcentral's name for it is "partial 16S ribosomal RNA". It matches the Rfam family "Bacterial small subunit ribosomal RNA", at positions 524 to 776 of the family's 1533-position model. The record is from RNAcentral.
UACGGAGGGUGCAAGCGUUAUCCGGAUUCACUGGGUUUAAAGGGUGCGUAGGUGGGUUGGUAAGUCAGUGGUGAAAUCUCCGAGCUUAACUUGGAAACUGCCGUUGAUACUAUCAAUCUUGAAUAUCGCGUAGGUAAGCGGAAUAUGUCAUGUAGCGGUGAAAUGCUUAGAUAUGACGCAGAACACCAAUUGCGAAGGCAGCUUGCUACACUGUUAUUGACACUGAGGCACGAAAGCGUGGGGAUCAAACAGG